RNAcentral lists this ribosomal RNA (767 nucleotides) under uncultured bacterium. Its description in RNAcentral is "bacterial SSU rRNA". It matches the Rfam family "Bacterial small subunit ribosomal RNA", at positions 102 to 879 of the family's 1533-position model. The record is from RNAcentral.
ACGGGUGAGUAACGCGUGAGCAACCUGCCUCAAACAGGGGGAUAACGCAUCGAAAGAUGUGCUAAUACCGCGUAAGACCACGGCAUCACAUGGUGCAGGGGUCAAAGGAGCAAUCCGGUUUGAGAUGGGCUCGCGUCCGAUUAGCUAGUUGGUGAGAUAACAGCCCACCAAGGCGACGAUCGGUAGCCGACCUGAGAGGGUGAUCGGCCACAUUGGAACUGAGAUACGGUCCAGACUCCUACGGGAGGCAGCAGUGGGGAAUAUUGGGCAAUGGGCGAAAGCCUGACCCAGCAACGCCGCGUGAGGGAAGAAGGGUUUCGGCUCGUAAACCUCUGUCCUAUGGGACGAAGGAAGUGACGGUACCAUAGGAGGAAGCCCCGGCUAACUACGUGCCAGCAGCCGCGGUAAUACGUAGGGGGCGAGCGUUGUCCGGAAUGAUUGGGCGUAAAGGGCGCGUAGGCGGCCUGAUAAGUCUGGAGUGAAAGUCCUGCUUCCAAGGUGGGAAUUGCUUUGGAUACUGUUGGGCUGGAGUGCAGGAGAGGAAAGCGGAAUUACCGGUGUAGCGGUGAAAUGCGUAGAGAUCGGUAGGAACACCAGUGGCGAAGGCGGCUUUCUGGACUGUAACUGACGCUGAGGCGCGAAAGCGUGGGGAGCAAACAGGAUUAGAUACCCUGGUAAGUCCACGCUGUAAACGAUGAAUGCUAGGUGUAGGAGGUAUCGACCCCUUCUGUGCCGCAGUCAAACACAAUAAGCAUUCCGCCUGGGGA